Molecule: long non-coding RNA, 629 nt
Organism: Erinaceus europaeus (western European hedgehog)
Lineage: Eukaryota; Metazoa; Chordata; Mammalia; Eulipotyphla; Erinaceidae
Exons: 3
Source: RefSeq, a predicted model, not a curated record
UGGUUCGCCACCGCGGCUUCUCGAAGCCUUCGUUCCACCACGACUAACGGUCACUCAGAAUUCAGAACCUUCGCCUUAGGGCAGAUGAAACUUCUAUCAGAUUGCCAUAGACUGUAUCUGCUUAGAAGCUCUCAAUAAGUAGAUUGGUUUGUAUAUCAGCUCUUCCAGCAUCAGCAACUAUUAUUUGUCUUUUCCUGAAGUACUUUGAUUUUGGGACUAUGACAAGGACAGAGACAAAUUGAGAGGGGUGGAAGAUAGAGGGAGAAGAGAGAUACCUGCAGAUCUGCUUCACUACUUAUGAAGUGCUCCCCCUGCUGGUGGGUAACAGGGGCUUGAACUGGGUUCCUUGCCCUUCUCCCAUGAACAUUUUUUAACUGAAGUAAAGUUAUAGAGAGUAUAGUUUACUUGCCUAUAAGUCAACAAAAACAAGUAAUUUAUUUUUCUAUGUUGAAUUAGAUACUUUGAUAUGUGAUAAUAUCAUUAAGGUAAAACAGUUUUAUUGCCUAGAAGAUCAUAAGAUAUACCCAUAGCAAGAAGCAAGACCAUAUAGUUUAAUAGCUCACUGUGUGUGUGUGUAACACAACUUCCUUAUUCAGUCACCUGUCACUUGAAUUGUUUCCAAGUGUUGG